UUAUUUAAUGGCCGCGGUAUUUUGACCGUGCAAAGGUAGCAUAAUCAUUAGUCUAUUAAAUGUGGACUUGUAUGAAUGGUUGGACGAGAUAUAUACUGUCUCAUUUAAAAUACAUAGAAUUUAAAUUUUGAGUUAAAAUGCUUAAGUUUUUUUAUUGGACGAGAAGACCCUAUAGAUCUUUAUUAUUUAUUUAUUUUUAUAAUUUAGAUUAUUUUGUUUAAAUUAGAUAACUUAUUUUGUUGGGGUGACAUGGAGAUAUAAUUAACUCUUUAUUUUGUUUUUACAAAGAUUUUUGGUUAUUUGACCUUUUAUUAUUAUUGUAAGAUUAANAUACCUUAGGGAUAACAGCGUAAUUCUUUUUGAGAGUUCAUAUCAACAAAGGAGAUUGCGACCUCGAUGUUGGAUUAAGAUUAUAGUUAGGUGUAGAUGCUUAACUGUUAGGUCUGUUCGACCUUUAAUUUCUUACAUGAUCUGAGUUCAA
RNAcentral lists this ribosomal RNA (481 nucleotides) under Bactrododema hecticum. Its description in RNAcentral is "partial 16S ribosomal RNA". It matches the Rfam family "Bacterial large subunit ribosomal RNA", at positions 1920 to 2614 of the family's 2925-position model. The record is from RNAcentral. Lineage: Eukaryota; Metazoa; Arthropoda; Insecta; Phasmatodea; Diapheromeridae.